GCGGAGACAAGUUCAAAAAAGUGUAUAAUAUCAUAAUAUCUCCAAUUUUAUUAUAUUGAUCGACACGUUGAGAGGAUUUGUGAGGGAAAAUAAACCCCAAUGAAGAGAAUGUCACGAGAAGGCACGACCUGUUGAACCUCCGUCAUCAUUUAAACGCUUUAUUAGGUGUUUUUUUUUUUUUUUUUUUUUUUUCGUCGAGUUUGCGAUCUGACUGCAGUCCGGUCGGUCUCGAGAGGGAGGCGCGAGACGGGCGCUAGUUGAGUUGAGUCGAGUUGAAGCGUCGAGGCGAGGCGAGGCGGGGGCGGGGAGCGCGCGGUGCGCUCUCGCGCCAAUGAGGGCAUCCCGGGCUUGGCAGGAACGCGUCCACGUGACCGUGGAGAGCACCGACACACGCCGGCGGGGCUCCUUCUCAAACACACCGCCGACAGGAGGAGAAGCGCGAAGGGGAGCGAGCGACAGAGAAGACGUCCACGGUGACACACACUCGUCCACACACCUCCUCGACGUGCAGAAGAUGGACGGCUACACGCGCACCGAAGACGAGCUCUUCCCCUCAUGCCUGCUCACCUCCACCUGGGAGAACCCCCACCACGAGCAGCCUGGGACUCUCAGUGGACCACAACCCUGCACUACACCAACAGGUAGACUCUUGUUUGUGCUGUGCAACAUGUUCUUGUUAGCAUGAAGAUCAGGGACAGAGGGAUUCUGAUAUAUCCACAUGGCUUGAUGUUUCC
Molecule: long non-coding RNA, 734 nt
Filed under: Scleropages formosus (Asian bonytongue)
Lineage: Eukaryota; Metazoa; Chordata; Actinopteri; Osteoglossiformes; Osteoglossidae
Description: lncRNA (ENSSFOG00015026148.1)
Source: RNAcentral